This 911-nucleotide long non-coding RNA is filed under the name Pan troglodytes (chimpanzee). RNAcentral describes it as "long non-coding RNA NONPTRT004757". The record is from RNAcentral. Lineage: Eukaryota; Metazoa; Chordata; Mammalia; Primates; Hominidae.
GCCGUCCACCUCAGAGGGAGCCCUGUGUGCCAUUAUAAGUGGUGGGUGAUCGCUCGCAGCUACCCGCUUCCAAUUCGGAUUAGAAGCUGAGGCUGGAGCGGCGAGGAGAAAACGACAUCGAGUCACCCCGCGCGUGAGCGACGCUCUGGAGCAGGAGAGAAGGAAAAGGAAGAGACACACGUAUAUAGCAUGUGUUACCUGAUUUAUUUCGAGAUUGUUUGGUACUGUUUUCUCUCUGGGCACCUCUCAUUUCGGAAGGCCAUCAGAGGCGCCCACUACUGAGCGGCCCCGGCCGCCGCAGCAGCACCCGGAGCCCCAGGCCCGGUUUCCCCGCGGCGCCGGAGCCCGGAGCUCGCCGCCGCCCAGGCCUCAGGAAUCGAGUAAGUAACCCCUGUUUGGCCCCGCGCUCCUCUGCCCACUUCCUCCUCCUCAUCUCAUCGCUCCCAAAGCUCUCCCACACCCUCCUCCCCCGAAGUAAAGGACACCCCCGCACACACGCCAGCGGUGGGCCUUCUCUCCCCCCUUAUCCAAAGCUGCGCUAGACUAUUACCUACAAAGGGCACAAUUUUCCUGCUGGCUCAGAAAUGCCAGACACUGGCCUGCAGGGCCGACUCGGAAAAGUAGUGCCUCGCCUCUACCUCCUCCAUUUCCUGCCCUCUCGCAUCCUCUCCCUGCACUCCCACUCUUCCCACUACCACCACCACCCCCGCUUUCAAAAAUAAAAUUGGAUACAAACUUUAAUCACUAAGGACAAAUAUUGACGCUUAAACGAAAAUGACCCAGUACAAUGAGAAGGAAGCCGGAAAUGUGAGCUAUUGGCCCUAGGAGGGGAAUUUCUGUGGAGCGGAGCCGGCGGGGUGGAGGGGGUGGCGGGGGCGCAGGGAAGGGCUGCGGCACCGCGUGCUCCCGCC